CUGCGUGAAUCAGCUGCAGAAUCGUGACGAACCUCGCAGGCACUCGGGGAUCGCCCGUCGUUUUCUUGGUUUUUUUUUUUAUAAAAAUUGUUUUACUGACGCGCGUUUCAUAUACACGAAAACUAGCACGUGAACCGUGAUUUUUUUUCGUUCCCGAGUUCGAUCGUUUCGACGUGCGAAAAUCAUUUGCCAGUCGAAUCGAGCGUACAUAUUGAGGUUGUUAACGAUAUCGUAUUAUAUUAUUAUAAUAUUUACAUGCGAAUCGACAUUUCGCGAAAAUUCCAUUAGCAAAGAAGUUCGCGAAAACGUUCGUAAGUACGAAACUGUAUAAUUUUUACGCCACGCUACACAUCAUGACGACCUGCAAAUCUUGUAUCGUGUUGAUGAGCUCACUAGUCCUGCUAUCCUGCACGCCGCGAUCUGCGGUCGCAGUUCAGACGGACGCACAAGCAAUGAUGUAUUUAUCUCAAUUUGGUUAUUUGAGCCCUUCAAUGAAAAAUCCAAAUUCAGGUCAUAUCAUGUCUGAAGAAACAAUGGCUCGAGCGUUAAUGGAGUUUCAAUCAUUCGUUGGUCUAAAUCUGACAGGUCACUUGGAUGACGAAACGCUACACUAUAUGAGUAUGCCUAGAUGUGGUGUCCGAGAUAAAGUGGGAUUCGCCACAGACUCCAGGUCUAGGAGAUAUGCUCUACAAGGUAGUCGGUGGAGGGUGAAAGACUUGACGUAUAAAAUAUCCAAGUAUCCUAAACUACUGGGUAAGUCGGAAACGGACUCGGAAAUCCGGAAAGCAUUCGACGUAUGGUCUGAAGUUACACCGUUGACGUUUACUCACAAAAAGUCUGGACAAGUGCACAUCGAAAUCAGAUUUGAAAAAGGUGAACAUGGCGAUGGUGAUCCAUUCGACGGACCAGGUGGAACUUUAGCACAUGCUUUUUUUCCAGUUUAUGGUGGUGAUGCUCAUUUUGAUGAUUCGGAAAAAUGGUCAAUUGGUUCAUUUAAAGGUACUAACUUGUUUCAAGUAGCAGCUCAUGAAUUUGGUCACUCAUUAGGAUUAUCUCAUUCGGAUGUCCGGUCUGCAUUAAUGGCACCAUUCUAUAGAGGUUACAAUCCGUCAUUUAGUUUGGAUAGCGAUGACAUAGAAGCCAUUCAGGCUCUGUAUGGUGCUAACUCCGCGUCAGAAGGAUCAGACAAUGACGACGACAGCACUGGCCAAGGAUCAGGUAAAAAGACAACAACGCAAGAACCGCCAGGCGCAGAGGGCAGCGACGCUGAAUUAUGUACAGAUACUAAAGUGAACGCUUUGUUCAAUUCAGCCAACGGCGAAACUUUUGUGUUUAAAGGUGAUUAUUAUUGGAAGUUAACGGACGACGGACUUGCUCAAGGAUUCCCCAAGCCUAUCGCAGGCACGUGGUCUGGCCUUCCAGGCAACAUAGACGCUGCAUUUACAUAUAAAAACGGUAAAACUUAUUUCUUCAAAGGCACAAAAUAUUGGAAGUACACUGACACUACAAUGGAUGAUGGGUAUCCAAAAGACAUAGCCGAAGGCUUUGCCGGUAUCCCGGAUAAUAUUGACGCCGCUCUUGUAUGGAGUGGAAACGGAAAGAUUUACUUUUUCAAAGGCUCAAAAUUUUGGAAAUUCGACCCAAUGCAAAAACCUCCUGUAAAGAGCACAUACCCGAAGCCUAUUAGUAAUUGGGAUGGUAUACCAGAUAAUAUAGAUGCAGCUUUGCAUUACACUAAUGGCUAUACAUAUUUCUUCAAAGAUGAAAAUUAUUAUAGGUUCAAUGACAGGACAUUUGCAGUUGAUAUUGCGGACCCACCUUUCCCCCGUAAUGCUGGAUAUUGGUGGUUCGGCUGUAGAGCUGAAAAUAAGGGACAUCGGAAAGAAAUGACCGCUGUGCCCAGUAUACUUAGACCGACGUGGAUGGAAGUGAGACGAGAUCACAAGGGCAAUCAAAACACAGAUGUCGGUGAUCUGAUAUUGGACGCAGCUGCAUAAACAAGUUGUUCGGUGUUGAACGAUUCGCUCGCAUUAUGGAUAUUGGUAUGCUGGUAUAUGCUGAAGAAGAUAGUGGCCACACAAGUAUUUUGAAAAUGUGAUACUGUGCGGGGGACCGCAUCGAUUUAUUAUAUUGUUUGUUGAAUGUUUUGGACACGGUGUAAUACCUUACCUACACGUCAAGUGCCGAAUACAACUACUGGACCUACCGAGUUAUCGACCGACUGCAACGCCACCGUGCCGGACGUAUAUUUUUUUGUAUAUAUUGGUAUGCCUAUACAAAUAUGAAAAAAAAACAAAUAAUUGUUAUUAGGAUUCAAAAGGUCUUUGUACAGCCUUUAAUAUUUAUUCCGAACUUUGAAUGUACGAGUUCAGCGUUGGGUCGACUUUUUAAGAGACUGAAUUUUACACUUCGUUAUAUAAUAUUAUAUACCUGUAUUUAAGACAAUUUUAUAUUUAGUUUUUA
Molecule: RNA transcript, 2463 nt
Organism: Melanaphis sacchari
Lineage: Eukaryota; Metazoa; Arthropoda; Insecta; Hemiptera; Aphididae
Gene: Mmp1
Gene name: matrix metalloproteinase-16
Exons: 12
Source: RefSeq, a predicted model, not a curated record